RNAcentral lists this small nuclear RNA (21 nucleotides) under Arabidopsis thaliana (thale cress). RNAcentral describes it as "snRNA_09742". Lineage: Eukaryota; Viridiplantae; Streptophyta; Magnoliopsida; Brassicales; Brassicaceae. The record is from RNAcentral.
CGGGAUGAACCGGAAGCCGGG